UACGUAGGGUGCAAGCGUUAAUCGGAAUUACUGGGCGUAAAGCGUGCGCAGGCGGUUUUGUAAGUCUGUCGUGAAAUCCCCGGGCUCAACCUGGGAAUUGCGAUGGAGACUGCAAGGCUGGAGUCUGGCAGAGGGGGGUAGAAUUCCACGUGUAGCAGUGAAAUGCGUAGAGAUGCGGAGGAACACCGAUGGCGAAGGCAGCCCCCUGGGUCAAGACUGACGCUCAUGCACGAAAGCGUGGGGAGCAAACAGG
This 253-nucleotide ribosomal RNA is filed under the name uncultured bacterium. RNAcentral's name for it is "partial 16S ribosomal RNA". It matches the Rfam family "Bacterial small subunit ribosomal RNA", at positions 524 to 776 of the family's 1533-position model. The record is from RNAcentral.